RNAcentral lists this ribosomal RNA (2859 nucleotides) under Verrucomicrobiota bacterium. Its description in RNAcentral is "Verrucomicrobia bacterium (freshwater metagenome) 23S ribosomal RNA". It matches the Rfam family "Bacterial large subunit ribosomal RNA". The record is from RNAcentral. Lineage: Bacteria; Pseudomonadati; Verrucomicrobiota.
UUUGUUCAAGUUUUAAAGAGCGUUUGGUGGAUGCCUAGGCACCAAGAGACGAAGAAGGACGCUGCAAGUUGCGAUAAGCUUCGGGGAGCUACAAGCGAGCGACGAUCCGAAGGUGUCCGAAUGGGAAAACCUACCUGGCCGAAGCUAGGUGCCGAAAGCUGAAUUCAUAGGCAAUUGGCGAAUAACGAGGUGAAAUGAAACAUCUUAGUAACCUUAGGAAAAGAAAGCCGACAGCGAUUCCGUUUGUAGUGGCGAGCGAAGGCGGAAAAGGCAAAACUCCUAGACUAUUUAGGAGGGUAGCGGGAUUCAACGAUCUGAGAACUGCGCAGUCGCAAAUUCCUGAAACGGAAUGCCUAAGACCGUGAUAGCCGAGUGUGGCGCGCGCUAGCAGCUUAUGACGUGAAACACUCCCGAGUAGAGCGGGGCACGUGAAACCCUGUUCGAAUCAGUCCAGACCACUGGAUAAGCCUAAAUACUACUUGGUGACCGAUAGUGAACCAGUACCGCGAGGGAAUGGUGAAAAGCACCGCUGAUAGCGGAGUGAAACAGAUCCUGAAACCAAAUGCUUACAAUGUGUUGAAGUUCCUUCGUAAGGGGGAAUAACAGCUUGCCUUUUGCAUAAUGAGUCUGCGAGUUUAUCUUUGUAGCUGCAGGAGCCUUUUUGAGGCGAGUGCGAAGCGAAAGCGAGUGCGAAUAGCGCGAAUAGUCGCAAGGAUAAGACCCGAAGCGGUGGUGAUCUACUCUUGGGCAGAUUGAAGCAUGGCUAACCCCAUGUGAAGGAUCGAACUCGUGGAUGUUGAAAAAUCCUGAGAUGACCUGAGAGUAGGAGCGAAAGACUAAUCAAACCCCGUAAUAGCUGGUUCUCUUCGAAAUCGCUUGAGGGCGAGCGUCAAAAUUCUAACUGGAUGUGGUAGAGUGCUGAAUGGCUUAGGGGCCCCACCAGGCCACCAAAACCGACCAAACUUCGAAUCCAUCCAGAAGGUUUGGCAGUCAGGCUGCGGGGGAUAAGCUCCGCAGCCAAGAGGGCAACAGCCCAGACCGCCGGCUAAGGUGCCGAAAUGUGUCUAAGUGGAAAGGAUGUGCCGACGCGAAGACAGUGAGGAUGUUGGCUUAGAGGCAGCCACCAUUUAAACAGUGCGUAAUAGCUGACUCAUCGAGCGAUGGUGCGCCGAAAAUGAUUGGCGAUGUACUACACAUACCGAAGCCGCGGAUUCGCAGCCUAUCAGGCCGAAUGGUAGAAGAGCAUAGUCAGUUCAAUGAAUCUCACUGGAAACGGUGGCAGGAGGGCUGAGUAGCGAGAAUGCAGACACGAGUAGCGAAAUACUAGGUGAGAAUCCUAGUCGCCCAAAGUCCAAGGGUUUCUGGGCCAGGUUCGUCCUCCCAGAGUUAGCCGGGUGCUAAGGUGAUGCCGAUGGGCGCAACCAAUGCACAGCAGGUAAAUAGUCCUGAGCCACGGGCUAAAGGUGCAAUCCCGACGCACGUCUUAAUAAGGUGGACUCAACGAGUGAAGUUAGCCUAGACUGCAAAGUCGAAGCGAGCCUUUAUGACGAAGUGCCAAGAAAAAGGACUGCAUACAACCCCGUGCCCGUACCCAAACCGACACAGGUGGACAAGUGCAAAUGCACGAAGGCGCGCGAGAGAAACCUCUCUAAGGAACUCGGCACAUUUGCCUCGUAACUUCGGGAGAAGAGGUGCUCACUAGUCGUGAGCUUCAAUAAAUUGCGUUUAGCGACUGUUUAACAAAAACACAGCUCUCUGCGACGUAAUACACUAGGUAUAGGGAGUGACAAGUGACCAAUGCGGAAAGAUUAUCGUGCCUUGUUCUGCCGUCACGGCAAAAGCUUGGCACUUAAGUCCCCGUGAAUGUCGGCCGUAACUAUAACGGUCCUAAGGUAGCGAAAUUCCUUGUCGGGUAAGUUCCGACCUGCACGAAUCUUGUAACGACUGAACGACUGUCUCGGAGAGGAUCUCGGCGAAACUGUAGUUGCGGUGAAGAUGCCGCAUGCCCGCAGUAGGACGGAAAGACCCUAUGCACCUUUACUGUAAGCUCCUGCUGGGUUCUUAUAUGUCAUGCUUAGUGUAGGUGGGAGACUAGGAAAGCGUGGCUUUGGUUGCGCAUGAGUCGUAAUAUGAAACACCACCCUUGACAAAUCAGGAUUCUAACUUGAAUCCGGCAUACGGAUCAAGGAAAUCGGGUGCAGGUCAGUUUGGCUGGGGCGGCUUCCUCCCAAAGUGUAACGGAGGAGCGCAAUGCUUAGCUCAGCACGGUUGGUAAUCGUGCGUCGAGCGUAUGGGUAUAAGCUAGGCUAACUGUGAGACGUACAUGUCGACCAGAUGCGAAAGCAGGCCCAAAUGAUCCGGCGGUUGAUUGUGGAAUUGCCGUCGCUCAUCGGACAAAAGGUACGCUAGGGAUAACAGGCUGAUCGGGACCAAGAGUUCAUAUCGACGUCCCGGUUUGGCACCUCGAUGUCGGCUCAUCGCAUCCUGGAGCUGGAGAAGGUUCCAAGGGUCCGGCUGUUCGCCGGUUAAAGCGGUACGCGAGCUGGGUUCAGAACGUCGUGAGACAGUUCGGUCCUUAUCCACUGUGGGUGCAUGAUAUAUGAGGGAUUCAUUUUCUAGUACGAGAGGACCGGAAAUGACGCACUUCUGGUGUGGUAGUUGCCGCUUCAGCGGCACAGCUACGUAGCCAUGUGCGGAUAAGAUAAGUGCUGAAAGCAUCUAAGCACCAAGCUUACCCCAAUACUGUGUAUCUCGGCGAUUGCCGGCAGAGCCCGGGCAGACUACCCGGUUGAUAGACUACUGGUAGAAUCAACGUGAGUUGCCGCCGAGUAGUACUAAUUGCUCGCCAAACUUGAGCGU